Molecule: ribosomal RNA, 1366 nt
Filed under: metagenome
Description: bacterial LSU rRNA
Rfam family: Bacterial large subunit ribosomal RNA
Source: RNAcentral
UUUAAGGCGAAGUCACUGAUCCUAUGCUGCCAAGAAAAGCCCAACAGUGAGUUGGCACGGCACCCGUACCCCAAACCGACACAGGUGGGCGGGUAGAGAAUACCAAGGCGAUCGGGAGAACUAUGGUUAAGGAACUCGGCAAAUUGCAUCCGUAACUUCGGGAGAAGGAUGACCCUAUUAGGGUGAAGGGAUUUACUCCCAGAGCUCGAGAGGGUGGCACAGACCAGGGGGUAGCGACUGUUUACCAAAAACACAGCAGCGUGCCAAGCCGCAAGGCGCAGUAUACGCUGUGACGCCUGCCCAAUGCUGGAAGGUCACGGGGAACGGUUAGUCGUAAGGCGAAGCUGUGAACCUAAGCCCCAGUGAAUGGCGGCCGUAACUAUAACGGUCCUAAGGUAGCGAAAUUCCUUGUCGGGUAAGUUCCGACCUGCACGAAUGGCGUAACGACUUCCCCACUGUCUCAACCAUAGACCCGGCGAAAUUGAAGUACGAGUAAAGAUGCUCGUUAGCUGCGGAAGGACGAAAAGACCCCAUGGACCUUUACUAUAACUUGAUAUUGAGCUUUGUCCUGCAUUGUGUAGGAUAGGUGGGAGACUUGGAAGCGGUGGCGCCAGCUAUCGUGGAGUCAACGUUGAAAUACCACCCUGUGUAUGACGGGGCUCUAACCUGGGUCCAUUAUCUGGAUCAGGAACAGUGUCAGGCGGGUAGUUUGACUGGGGCGGUCGCCUCCUAAAAUGUAACGGAGGCGCCCAAAGGUUCCCUCAGGCUGGUUGGCAAUCAGCCGUCGAGUGCAAUGACACAAGGGAGCUUGACUGCAAGACUGACAGGUCAAGCAGGUGCGAAAGCAGGGCAUAGUGACCCGGCCAUCACGUGUGGAAGUGUGGUCGCUCAACGGAUAAAAGGUACCCUGGGGAUAACAGGCUAAUCUCCCCCAAGAGUCCAUAUCGACGGGGAGGUUUGGCACCUCGAUGUCGGCUCAUCGCAUCCUGGGGCUGAAGCAGGUCCCAAGGGUUGGGCUGUUCGCCCAUUAAAGCGGUACGCGAGCUGGGUUCAGAACGUCGUGGGACAGUUCGGUCUCUAUCCUCCGCAGCCGAAGGUGUAUUGAGGAAGGCUGUCCCUAGUACGAGAGGACCGGGACGGACGGAGCUCUGGUGUGUCUGUUGUCCUGCCAAGGGCAUUGCAGAUUAGCCACCUCCGGAAGGGAUAACUGCUGAAAGCAUCUAAGUAGGAAACCCGUUCCAAGAUGAGUACACCCAUGCGGUUAACGCAGUAAGGCCCGUGACAAGACCAUCACGUUGAUAGGCCGGAGGUGUAAGCACGGUAACGUGUGUAGCCGACCGGUACUAAUCGGCCGAGGGCUUGGAUC